GACGAACGCUGGCGGCGUGCUUAACACAUGCAAGUCGAACGGAAAGGCCCUGCUUUUGUUGGGUGCUUGAUUGGCGAACGGGUGAGUAACACGUGAGUAACCUCUCCUUGACUUUGUGAUAUCUUCAGGAAACUGGGGCUCAUAUCGGAUAGGAUCUUCUGCUGCAUGUUGGGGGUUGGAAAGUUUCGGCGGUUGGGGAUGUUCUCGCGGCUUAUCAGCUUGUUGGUGGGGUAGUGGCUUACCAAGGCUUUGACGGGUAGCCGGCCUGAGAGGGGUAACGGCCACAUGGGGACUGAGGUACGGCCCAGACGCCAACGGGAGGCAGCAGGGGGGAAUAUUGCACAAUGGGCGGGAGCCUGAUGCAGCAACGCUGCGUGCGGGAUAACGGGUUUCGGGUUGUAAACCGAUUUCGCCUGUAACGAAGCGUGAGUGACGGUAAUUGAUAAAGAAGCAACGGCUAACUACGUG
Molecule: ribosomal RNA, 468 nt
Filed under: uncultured bacterium
Lineage: Bacteria
Description: partial 16S ribosomal RNA
Rfam family: Bacterial small subunit ribosomal RNA
Source: RNAcentral